Molecule: long non-coding RNA, 961 nt
Filed under: Phoenix dactylifera (date palm)
Lineage: Eukaryota; Viridiplantae; Streptophyta; Magnoliopsida; Arecales; Arecaceae
Description: long non-coding RNA (PDAC_LNC016754)
Source: RNAcentral
GACAUAAAUCCAAGAUCUCUAAGACCAAAUGAGACUAGCAAUUUAACUUCAAAAAGAAAAAACAACUAAACCUAGUUUUGACAUAAACUACAGCAAAAUUGGAUCACAUAGCUUCUGAACAUGACUUCUAAGUUUGACUUCAUGUUGUUCCUGAAUAUGUCAUAAAUUCAUUCUCAAGUAGUUAUCAAUAUAUUGCUUUCUUGCUUCCAAUAGUUUAUAGUCCUACUUCGUUUCGAGAGCCACACUAAUGUUUUCCUUCUAAGUGUUUUAUGGAGCAGUUAACAGGACAAAUUACCUAUCUACUACAAAAUGAAAAUUCCAGACUUAUACUGAUAAGCUCGACAGGCUUGUUGUUCCGGACCCAGGUGCAUGGCAUACAAUAGUAACAUAACUAGAAGCCUUUUCACAUCAACUUGAGGUCAGGUUGAACAUCUGUUGGCAUUCAUGCAUUCCAAGAAUAAAUACUCCACUAGAAAGGCAUUAUCAAGUUGUUUCUGGCAGCACUUUCCUGAAGCCUCUCCCGGUCACCCUUCUCCUUAUAGUUUAAUGGUGGAUUUCCUUUGCUUCCCUAGAUACUACCAAAGUCUACAACAUUAACAAGUGUAAUAAGUGGAGAGAUCUGGCGACACCCCACUAGCACAACCAUCUCUAUCUCCCCCUUGCACUAGUCUGUUUCAAAGUGGCUUCAUUUAUUCCCCUCCACCCAAUUCUUCUUUUCAAUCUCAACAAAUACUGUCUAUAUGCUAGCUUUAAGCUUGCAUUCAUAAUGUGAAGAAGCAAGAUCAGGCUUAUGAUCUGCAGUAAGAAAGAAGCCAGACAAGGGUUAACAAAUAUAUAAGCCAUCUCUAGCAUUCUCCAUGCAUAAUUCUGCUGUAAGAAGGAAUCGGCAUUUUCAGGCCAGUAAACAUUCAUCAUUAAAUGAUCUAUUGUUCAGUAAACCAUCACAACUGACUCGCAAAAG